GCCGGGAUGGCGGAAUUGGUAGACGCGCACGAUUCAGGGUCGUGUGCCCGCGAGGGUGUGCAGGUUCAAGUCCUGUUCCCGGCA
This 84-nucleotide transfer RNA is filed under the name Allomeiothermus silvanus DSM 9946. Its description in RNAcentral is "Meiothermus silvanus DSM 9946 tRNA". It matches the Rfam family "tRNA". From Rfam's summary of the family: Transfer RNA (tRNA) molecules are approximately 80 nucleotides in length. Their secondary structure includes four short double-helical elements and three loops (D, anti-codon, and T loops). Lineage: Bacteria; Thermotogati; Deinococcota; Deinococci; Thermales; Thermaceae. The record is from Rfam by way of RNAcentral.